This 429-nucleotide ribosomal RNA is filed under the name Gemmatimonadota bacterium. Its description in RNAcentral is "Gemmatimonadetes bacterium partial 16S ribosomal RNA". It matches the Rfam family "Bacterial small subunit ribosomal RNA", at positions 355 to 776 of the family's 1533-position model. The record is from RNAcentral. Lineage: Bacteria; Pseudomonadati; Gemmatimonadota.
UAGGUAAUCUUCGGCAAUGGACGAAAGUCUGACCGAGCAACGCCGCGUGGGUGAAGAAGGUUUUCGGAUCGUAAAACUCUGUUGUUAGAGAAGAACAAGGACGUUAGUAACUGAACGUCCCCUGACGGUAUCUAACCAGAAAGCCACGGCUAACUACGUGCCAGCAGCCGCGGUAAUACGUAGGUGGCAAGCGUUGUCCGGAUUUAUUGGGCGUAAAGCGAGCGCAGGCGGUUUCUUAAGUCUGAUGUGAAAGCCCCCGGCUCAACCGGGGAGGGUCAUUGGAAACUGGGAGACUUGAGUGCAGAAGAGGAGAGUGGAAUUCCAUGUGUAGCGGUGAAAUGCGUAGAUAUAUGGAGGAACACCAGUGGCGAAGGCGGCUCUCUGGUCUGUAACUGACGCUGAGGCUCGAAAGCGUGGGGAGCAAACAGG